AGGGUGUACAGCUACUGUGUUUGAUUGACAAGGCAUUUGAUGCCUGUCGGUACCUGCAGGACUAUGGGGAAUGGGACCAGGCUGCCUGGCUAGCCAAGGCUUCCCUGAACAAUGUGGAGUGCUCAGAGGUGAUGAAGAGAUGGGUGGACCAUCUCUGCUCAUCUGCUGUCAACUAUAAGAGUAAAGCUAUCUUGGUGCUGCUAUCCCUGGGACAUUUCAUAAAGGUGUUGGAGCUAUUGUACAGGUGAGUUC
This is a long non-coding RNA of Branchiostoma floridae (Florida lancelet), 252 nucleotides long. RefSeq lists it as uncharacterized. The record is from RefSeq and is a predicted model, not a curated record. NCBI's taxonomy places the organism in Eukaryota, Metazoa, Chordata, Leptocardii, Amphioxiformes, Branchiostomatidae. The transcript is spliced from 3 exons.